This 365-nucleotide unclassified non-coding RNA is filed under the name Hevea brasiliensis (rubber tree). The record is from RNAcentral. Lineage: Eukaryota; Viridiplantae; Streptophyta; Magnoliopsida; Malpighiales; Euphorbiaceae.
UGGAAAUUGUUUCAUCAUGCACCACUCCUGGAACUCAUUCUUCCAUAGCAUCUCCACCUUCAAUCACCUCUACCAUCUCUCUCAAUGGUAUAAUCUUUGUAAGAAUAACUUCAGUCUUUUUAGGGAACGAGUAACCCUUCUGUGGGUCGGUCCGGGGAUAAGGCGACAUAUGAUUCCUUAAGUACUCCGUGUGACCCUUUGUUAUCACACAGAUAUCAACAUUGCUUCCACUACCAAGAUCAUUGAACACCCCAGACAAUAUGGCCUCCGCUACUAGCUUUAUCCCUUCAUUUUUACUCAACCCUUCCCGGUAUUUUGAUUCAAAGAUAGCCAUAGCUGCAAGGGAACCAGAGCCCAUUGUAGCA